RNAcentral lists this unclassified non-coding RNA (1586 nucleotides) under Hevea brasiliensis (rubber tree). The record is from RNAcentral. Lineage: Eukaryota; Viridiplantae; Streptophyta; Magnoliopsida; Malpighiales; Euphorbiaceae.
CGAGCGAUAUGCUUGUUUUCUAGGAACAUGUCUAUGAACCAGGAAAAUGAUGCAACUUUUUCAACAAAAAGUUACAAUUUCCUUUCGUAAAAAUGACGUUCAUCCAUAUUUGAAUCAAUCGUCAUUGAGGAGAGGUUCUUCCUAAAGUACAACAUGAAUCAUAACUUAAAAAGGGCAAAAAGAAAACGAAAUAAAGCAAUUGAUCCUACAACUGUAAAUCCAAGCCCAGGAAAGAAAGAAAAGGAAGAAAGGAAUAAAAAUAUUCUUUUCCAAAAACAGAAGGAACAAAAAAAAAUUAAACUAAUCCAGACUUCAGGACAGGCGAAUAUUGCAGCAUUCUCUCUCUAUCAUGGACGUGGUUGUGGAACUUCUAGACCGGUAGCACUAAUUCCAGCCUGUGCAGAAGCAGUUGGUUUAGGGCUGCGUUUAAAUUUAGUCCAAGUGUAGAUCUCAAGAACUGUGACAAUGGCCCCAAGAGAUAUAAGGAUUCCAAUGUAAGCCUGUCUCCAAGUAUCGUUUGGCUUCAAGAUAUUAAUUCCAUGAAAUAUGUUUAUUGAGAUUACAGCAAGCAGUGCAUAACCCAGAAAAUGAUGGUACAUAUUCCAGAAUUUCCUGUACUCGUCAUCCUCCCCCGGUUUUAAACGUAACGCCAACAUUUGUAACGUUGUAAAUGUGAAAAUGAAAAUGGAAUAAAGGCGGUGGAUUUUAAAGAUAUAGAAUUUGGAAAGAUUUCCAAGAACCAAACCAAGUAUCCACCCAGAAGUUCCAAGAAUGUAGCCAAUAAUUUGACAGGAGACAUGAAGAGGAAUCCGCCAGUCAUGAAAAUUUUCCAAUGGAUAUUUGAAAUAUCUCGCUAUAAUCACACCAGAUGGAAGCAAUGUUCCCCAUCCCACAAUGUUUAAGAUGCCAUGCACUGUUCGCAAGUAAUUUUCAUGCUUGCCAACAUGAUGAGCCUCAUCUCUAACCCACAAAUUUAUAGUCUCUGUACUAUCAACGUUCUGCAGGGUUUUGGCAUGCAUCUUAGGCUCCGUGCCUUCUGCCUCAUCUCCAAUUUGCCAGACAUGGUUCAACUUUGAAAUAUUGUAUGCAGCAGGUGGAAGAAUCACUCUAGCCUGUAUUGCGAAGUAGUCUAAUUCAUUUAUAUUUUCCAUUGACAUGUUAUGAAACCCCACUUCAUUCUGCACUUUUUCAUCCAUUUUUUCAGGUUUCAGCUUGCAACCUAUCUUGGUAUCGCUUGUGAUAUUGUAGGUAGUGAUGAAUGUUGAUCCAUCUGAGUUCCAAAUACCUAUCAUUGCCCUGGUUCCAACCAUCUGUGGCAUCUCGUCUGGAUUGACCCCCCAGGCUAGCCAUCCAAAUCCUGUAUGUAGUCUCGUGCCGAAGAGAAUUUCUAUCUGCUGCUCAUUGUUGAUUCGCCAGGCAAAUUCAGCCUCAAGAGUGGUUAAUUUCUUGCAGUAUGUAAAGUUCUUUCUCUGGCUUACAUUUAAGAAAGGCUCACUACAAGGAGUGAAAUGGGCACCGAUUGAGAGAAGGAAGAAUGAGGCUAAGAUCAUGAACAUCACAAACAUGGUGGGGGAAGACAUUUUUUG